CGAAAAGGAAGCUGAGUCCAUUGUCCUGAUUGUCUUGAACCCCUAGGGGUUUUACUGGUAGUACAUUCGUAGAUUCUCGGAGUUCCAGCUUCGCGGGAUCAGGGUCCCCUCUAGGGACUUUAAUUUAUACGCCCCUGGUCGUUGUACCCGGGCGAUCUGAUACGGCCCCUCCCAAUUUGGGGCGAGCUUUCCUUGCUCAGUCGGUUGAGAAGCCUCGGCUCU
RNAcentral lists this long non-coding RNA (222 nucleotides) under Phoenix dactylifera (date palm). Its description in RNAcentral is "long non-coding RNA (PDAC_LNC021814)". Lineage: Eukaryota; Viridiplantae; Streptophyta; Magnoliopsida; Arecales; Arecaceae. The record is from RNAcentral.